CCGGCGCACGGGUGAGUAACACGUAUCCAACCUGCCGUCUACUCUUGGACAGCCUUCUGAAAGGAAGAUUAAUACAAGAUGGCAUCAUGAGUUCACAUGUUCACAUGAUUAAAGGUAUUCCGGUAGACGAUGGGGAUGCGUUCCAUUAGAUAGUAGGCGGGGUAACGGCCCACCUAGUCUUCGAUGGAUAGGGGUUCCGAGAGGAAGGUCCCCCACAUUGGAACUGAGACACGGUCCAA
Molecule: ribosomal RNA, 239 nt
Filed under: uncultured bacterium
Lineage: Bacteria
Description: partial 16S ribosomal RNA
Rfam family: Bacterial small subunit ribosomal RNA
Source: RNAcentral